AGUGAACGCUGGCGGUAGGCCUAACACAUGCAAGUCGAACGGCAGCACAGUAAGAGCUUGCUCUUACGGGUGGCGAGUGGCGGACGGGUGAGGAAUACAUCGGAAUCUACUUUUUCGUGGGGGAUAACGUAGGGAAACUUACGCUAAUACCGCAUACGACCUACGGGUGAAAGCAGGGGAUCUUCGGACCUUGCGCGAUUGAAUGAGCCGAUGUCGGAUUAGCUAGUUGGCGGGGUAAAGGCCCACCAAGGCGACGAUCCGUAGCUGGUCUGAGAGGAUGAUCAGCCACACUGGAACUGAGACACGGUCCAGACUCCUACGGGAGGCAGCAGUGGGGAAUAUUGGACAAAGGGCGCAAGCCUGAUCCAGCCAUACCGCGUGGGUGAAGAAGGCCUUCGGGUUGUAAAGCCCUUUUGUUGGGAAAGAAAAGCAGCAGGUUAAUACCCCGCUGUUCGGACGGUACCCAAAGAAUAAGCACCGGCUAACUUCGU
Molecule: ribosomal RNA, 491 nt
Filed under: uncultured bacterium
Lineage: Bacteria
Description: partial 16S ribosomal RNA
Rfam family: Bacterial small subunit ribosomal RNA
Source: RNAcentral